CUAUGUAAUUUCUUUUCGGGUAAACUUUAAUUACCCCUGUGUGAUUUCACACAUUCUCACUUUAGUACCCUACGAUUUAAAAUGUAUCAAGUUAACCUAUGUGGUUUCGCACUUUCUCACUUUAGUAGUCUGUGGUUUAAAAUGUAUCAAGUUAGUACCUUGUGGUUUCAUUUUUCUCUUCUUAUUAUCUAUAUAUUUUACUAAUUUUUUUUUGUUAAAUCAGUGACAAAGUUAAAAUUAAAUGGUACUAAAGUGAAUAUUUGAUAACCUAAGUAGAGUAUGUGAAGUUUUUUGUAUAUAUAUAGUUUAACGAAAUAUUAACGGAGGAAAAAAAAAUCAGUGAUAAAGUUAAAACUAAAGGUUACUAAAAUAAAUAUUCGAUAACCAAGGUAGGGUAUCUAAAAUUUUUUGUAUAUAAUUUAACGAAAUAUUAACAGAGGAUUGGACGAAAAAAGAAAACUGAAGAACAAAUAUAUAACAUAUUGAAAUGUACGUGAGAGAGAGACGGAUUU
Molecule: long non-coding RNA, 512 nt
Filed under: Ananas comosus (pineapple)
Lineage: Eukaryota; Viridiplantae; Streptophyta; Magnoliopsida; Poales; Bromeliaceae
Description: long non-coding RNA (ACOM_LNC004057)
Source: RNAcentral